RNAcentral lists this transfer RNA (90 nucleotides) under Deltaproteobacteria bacterium. RNAcentral's name for it is "tRNA-Ser". It matches the Rfam family "tRNA". Rfam says of the family: Transfer RNA (tRNA) molecules are approximately 80 nucleotides in length. Their secondary structure includes four short double-helical elements and three loops (D, anti-codon, and T loops). Lineage: Bacteria; Pseudomonadati; Myxococcota; Myxococcia. The record is from RNAcentral.
GGAGAGAUGCCCGAGAGGCUGAAGGGGGCUGACUCGAAAUCAGUUGUUCCGGUAACGGAACCGGGGGUUCAAAUCCCUCUCUCUCCGCCA